Molecule: ribosomal RNA, 489 nt
Filed under: uncultured bacterium
Lineage: Bacteria
Description: partial 16S ribosomal RNA
Rfam family: Bacterial small subunit ribosomal RNA
Source: RNAcentral
GACGAACGCUGGCGGCGUGCUUAACACAUGCAAGUCGAACGGUGAAGGGAUCAGCUUGCUUGUUCUGGAUGAGUGGCGAACGGGUGAGUAACACGUGAGUAACCUGCCCCCUUCUUCUGGAUAACCGCAUGAAAGUGUGGCUAAUACGGGAUAUUCUGGGUCUGUCGCAUGAUGGGUCUGGGAAAGAUAUUGUUUCGGUGGGGGAUGGGCUCGCGGCCUAUCAGCUUGUUGGUGGGGUGAUGGCCUACGAAGGCGGUGACGGGUAGCCGGCGUGAGAGGGGGGACGGUGACACUGGGACUGAGACACGGCCCAGACGGCUAGGGGAGGCAGCAGUUGGGAAUAUAGCAAAAUGGGCGCAAGCCUGAUGCAGCGACGCAGCGUGAGGGAUGGAGGCGUUCGGGUUGUAAACCUCUUUCGCCAGUGAAGCAGGCCUGCUACUUGUGGGUGGGUUGACGGUAGCUGGAUAAGAAGCGCCGGCUAACUACGUG